UACAGAGGGGGCAAGCGUUGUUCGGAAUUACUGGGCGUAAAGGGCGCGUAGGCGGCCUGCUAAGUCGAACGUGAAAUCCCUGGGCUCAACCCAGGAACUGCGUCCGAUACUGGUUGGCUUGAAUCCGGGAGAGGGACGUGGAAUUCCAGGUGUAGCGGUGAAAUGCGUAGAUAUCUGGAGGAACACCGGUGGCGAAGGCGACAUCCUGGACCGGCAUUGACGCUGAGGCGCGAAAGCCAGGGGAGCAAACGGG
This 253-nucleotide ribosomal RNA is filed under the name uncultured bacterium. RNAcentral describes it as "partial 16S ribosomal RNA". It matches the Rfam family "Bacterial small subunit ribosomal RNA", at positions 524 to 776 of the family's 1533-position model. The record is from RNAcentral.